RNAcentral lists this ribosomal RNA (116 nucleotides) under Microtus ochrogaster (prairie vole). Lineage: Eukaryota; Metazoa; Chordata; Mammalia; Rodentia; Cricetidae. The record is from RNAcentral.
UACCACCCUAAAUGCGCCCGAUCUCGUCUGAUCUCGGAAGCUAAGCAGGGUCGGGCCUGGUUGGUACUUGAAUGGGAGUCCUUAUCUCUUCUUAUCACCUCUCAGAAGUUCUUGUC